GAUGGGUCUCCUCCAUCCCAAGGUAAUAUACACAUUGCCUUUACAAUAAAAUGGCCUAGAUAUGGUAAAAGAUUGUGGCAGAUCAGUAAUUGAACCUAUAAUAACAACUGCUAAGCCAUAAUCUCAAACUAGUUGAGACAGCAAUUGAACCUACAUGAAGUUAAAAUCAUUUUGGUUUCUCUUGAAAUUUGAGAUGAGUCAUUAUAAAGUUUACUUAUAUUUUGUGUUUUCUUUCUCAAUAAAAAUUCUCAAUCAGGAAAAUUUGGGUUAUG
RNAcentral lists this unclassified non-coding RNA (272 nucleotides) under Hevea brasiliensis (rubber tree). Lineage: Eukaryota; Viridiplantae; Streptophyta; Magnoliopsida; Malpighiales; Euphorbiaceae. The record is from RNAcentral.